This 443-nucleotide long non-coding RNA is filed under the name Capsicum annuum. Its description in RNAcentral is "long non-coding RNA (CANN_LNC000947)". The record is from RNAcentral. Lineage: Eukaryota; Viridiplantae; Streptophyta; Magnoliopsida; Solanales; Solanaceae.
UUCGAAUUAUUAGCAUCAUUAAGAAGAUUUCAACUAUCACUUACAUCUCAGUAAUAAUUAAACUAAUAAUGUGGUGCAAUAUUGAAUGGAAAGGCUGCCUGUAAAGAGUAAUAUUGUAACAUAAAUAAAGUAAAAACCUAUGAACAAAGAAAGUGUACAAUUAUCUGUUUGAUGUCAUUCGUGGGUUGGAGGUUAGUUGUGGUGGCUUCAUCAUUUUAUCCACCACUGUUUCCAUGUAACUUAUAAGAAGCUCCUGCUUUCGUCCAAAACUCUCUAUGCCUAUACUCAUAGCAUCAACCUAUUUUCUGACCUCGGUCAUCUGAGAACACAACGACAAGAGUUGAUUAUGGGGAGCCAAAAAGUGUUUGGUGGUGAAAAAGGCUUCAGAUGUAUUUUCUUGGGAGCUCAUUUUAAGUAUGAAUCUUUUUUUUGUUAUUCUGUAG